Molecule: small nucleolar RNA, 120 nt
Filed under: Echinops telfairi (small Madagascar hedgehog)
Lineage: Eukaryota; Metazoa; Chordata; Mammalia; Afrosoricida; Tenrecidae
Description: Small nucleolar RNA SNORA61 (ENSETEG00000026421.1)
Source: RNAcentral
ACCCUUCAGAUUCUUUACGCAUCAGACCUAAACACUAGUACGAUUGGUUUUAAAAGGAGGCAAAGUAAAAUUGAAACUGACAAAUUUUGUGUGUGACACACAAGCUAGUUUCAAAAAGAA